AUUGAACGCUGGCGGCAUGCCUUACACAUGCAAGUCGAACGGUAACGCGGGGCAACCUGGCGACGAGUGGCGAACGGGUGAGUAAUGCAUCGGAACGUGCCCAGUAGUGGGGGAUAGCUCGGCGAAAGCCGGAUUAAUACCGCAUACGACCUACGGGUGAAAGCGGGGGACCGUAAGGCCUCGCGCUGUUGGAGCGGCCGAUGUCAGAUUAGGUUGUUGGUGAGGUAAAGGCUCACCAAGCCGACGAUCUGUAGCUGGUCUGAGAGGACGACCAGCCACACUGGGACUGAGACACGGCCCAGACUCCUACGGGAGGCAGCAGUGGGGAAUUUUGGACAAUGGGGGCAACCCUGAUCCAGCCAUGCCGCGUGCGGGAAGAAGGCCUUCGGGUUGUAAACCGCUUUUGUCAGGGAAGAAAAGCUUCGGGCUAAUACCCCGAGGUAAUGACGGUACCUGAAGAAUAAGCACCGGCUAACUACGUGCCAGCAGCCGCCGUAA
RNAcentral lists this ribosomal RNA (498 nucleotides) under uncultured bacterium. RNAcentral's name for it is "partial 16S ribosomal RNA". It matches the Rfam family "Bacterial small subunit ribosomal RNA", at positions 29 to 523 of the family's 1533-position model. The record is from RNAcentral.